Molecule: non-coding RNA, 208 nt
Organism: Paramuricea clavata
Lineage: Eukaryota; Metazoa; Cnidaria; Anthozoa; Malacalcyonacea; Plexauridae
Source: the annotation of a GenBank genome assembly
CUCGGUUAAACUGCUGAGUUUCGUCAGUGCUGCUGUUACCAAGAAGAAAUGAAUUUUGGCAACUGUUUCAAUACAAACUUUCCAGUUUUGACUGCCAGUGCAGUUUUCCUCACAGUUCUGCCACAAUCGCAAGCUUGUGUUCAAAUCCAACAUUUUUAAAUCUUUUCGUCAACGUAUUUUUAACGUAUAAAGCCAAAGUCACUACCAG